GGUAUAGAUAUAGUAACAGAGAGAGAGGGAGUGGGUAUAGAUAUAGUAACAGAGAGAAGGAGUGGGUAUAGAUAGAAUAUAGUAACAGAAAGAGAGGGAGUGGGUAUAGAUAUAGUAACAGAGAGAGAGGGAGUGGGUAUAGAUAGAGUAAUAGAGAGAGAAGGAGUGGGUAUAGAUAGAGUAACAGAGAGAAGGAGUGGGUAUAGAUAUAAUAUAGUAACAGAAAGAGAGGGAGUGGGUAUAGAUAGAGUAACAGAGAGACGGAGUGGGUAUAGCUAGAGUAAUAGAGAGAAGGAGUGGGUUUAGAUAAGAUAUAGUAACAGAGAGAGAGGGAGUGGGUAUAGAUAA
This is a long non-coding RNA of Oncorhynchus tshawytscha (Chinook salmon), 348 nucleotides long. The record is from Ensembl. NCBI's taxonomy places the organism in Eukaryota, Metazoa, Chordata, Actinopteri, Salmoniformes, Salmonidae.